UACGGAGGGUGCGAGCGUUGUUCGGAAUUACUGGGCGUAAAGCGCGUGUAGGCGGUUUUCUAAGUCUGAUGUGAAAGCCCGGGGCUCAACCCCGGAGUGCAUUGGAAACUGGGAGACUAGAGUACCGGAGAGGAGGGUGGAAUUCCUGGUGUAGCGGUGAAAUGCGUAGAUAUCAGGAGGAACACCGGUGGCGAAGGCGGCCCUCUGGACGGAUACUGACGCUGAGACGCGAAAGCGUGGGGAGCAAACAGGAUUAGAUACCCCGGUAGU
This 270-nucleotide ribosomal RNA is filed under the name uncultured bacterium. Its description in RNAcentral is "partial 16S ribosomal RNA". It matches the Rfam family "Bacterial small subunit ribosomal RNA", at positions 524 to 794 of the family's 1533-position model. The record is from RNAcentral.